UUCCCGUAGGGUGAACCUGCGGAAGGAUCAUUA
Molecule: ribosomal RNA, 33 nt
Filed under: Coriolopsis trogii
Lineage: Eukaryota; Fungi; Basidiomycota; Agaricomycetes; Polyporales; Polyporaceae
Description: partial 18S ribosomal RNA
Source: RNAcentral